Molecule: transfer RNA, 95 nt
Filed under: Caenibius sp. WL
Lineage: Bacteria; Pseudomonadati; Pseudomonadota; Alphaproteobacteria; Sphingomonadales; Erythrobacteraceae
Description: tRNA-OTHER
Source: RNAcentral
AGCUGCGUAAAGCUACGCUAAGUUCGUUCCCAACAAACUUGAAAACCGGCGUGGGUGCAAGCUCACCGUGGGUUCGAAUCCCACCCUGUCCGCCA